This is a long non-coding RNA of Aethalodelphis obliquidens (Pacific white-sided dolphin), 3988 nucleotides long. RefSeq lists it as uncharacterized. NCBI's taxonomy places the organism in Eukaryota, Metazoa, Chordata, Mammalia, Artiodactyla, Delphinidae. The transcript is spliced from 4 exons. The record is from RefSeq and is a predicted model, not a curated record.
UAGUUCGUUUUCCUAGUUUGGCAACUGGGUGGUGCCGCAGCCUCCGCCCCCUCUGGGAAGCCCCCACCUUGGUAACAAGCUGCUGAUUGGCUGGCCGUGGGGCACAGCGGACCAGUCAAAGCUCUCCUUGAUGUCGAGUGUCCAGGAAGCUUCCUCCUGCAUUAGGAGGUCUAUACAUGCUGUUAUCUCUGCUGGACUCUCCUCCCAUCUCUUCAUCUAGGCCCAACUUGGCUUUGCAGUACUUGACUGCCCUCAGUUCUACAUAGUUGCCACUAGAGGGCAGGCGCGGUUAAGACAACAAUACUCUGGACCCACCAGCGCCAUGAUUACUGGAUCAGCCACCUCUGUCUCUGGCCUGCUGGGUCAGGAACUUGAAGGAUAAAAACCAAGAACUCAGCUAAAACUCCAGCAAGGACAGCCAGAGUCACCACUGAGAAGCUGCUGAAGCCCCUAGAGGCUGCCUUCAACACGGUGUGUGAGAGCGUCAGGAAGGUGGCUCAUGUCAAAGGGGCUUUGGGUGAGGUUACCUGUCGGGUCUCCGUAGGCUGUAACACUUAGGCAGACCCAGAGCUGGGCUUGCUUUUGCCUCAACCAGAGGCAUUCCUCUGCUUGCCACAGUGGUCAGGAGCUGUGUGUCAGCUUGGAGCAGGGCAGGAGGAAUGGGAGGAAGGCUUUCCUAACUCUCUUCCUAGAGGUGACCUUCGAGGGCAUUGUGGAUGGAGAGAUUAUGGGUAUGAAUGUGAAGGUUGCAAGGAAGACAGUAUGGAGAGCUUAGAUAGAUGAAGAAAUUGUUUUUUAAAUUAGCACUAGCAAUUCUUUUCAGUCUCUGUCAAGACUGACAGAGAGGAGAUGGGCUGAGGCUGCAGCCAGUUAACUUGUACUGCAAAUGUAAGAUAGAAAACCCAGCCCCAAAGAAUAAUGAGAAAAGGAAAUACCCUUCUUUGGAGAGCACUCGGUGCGGGGUGGGGGUGGAGACCUGGAAUGCUUUUGGAUGUUUCCUUUCUGGUCCCAGGGAAUAGAUCAAGUGGCCUCCAGGUGGACAGGUUGGGGGCAGAGCCAAGGCCAGGGGCCAGGUCUAUGGUGUCUGUGUGGAACAGGUGAAGUGAGUUGGGCUGGGGAGAAGUAAAGUGGCCCAGCUUAAAUAUCACCUCCAACCCUGUCGGCAGACUGCACUUAGAGGUUCCACCAUAGAUUCUCUACACCAUCCUGGGGCCUUCAGACUGCCUGCUAAAGUCCUGGAUCCCAACUGUUGAGCACUGAGGGGCUGCUCAGCACAUAGCAUGUGUAGAUUCUAUCCACAGGUUGAGCACCGUGAGCCCCCUGUUUAUCUUCCCUAAGCUCAUGAAUAGGACAGGGGCUUCUGCUUGGAGACUCCGGAGGACACUUUCCAUCCCGGAUUAAAUUCUGACAAAAGUCUUUCCAAAUUCCUCCUGGUACACCCGCCCUGCCCCCUGGAUCUCAGAGCUGCUGAAUAACAUUCUGAGCUGUGUUUCCUGCUCUUGCCAGGCUGGAAAAACUGAGGGAGAUGCUAAUGGAAGAAGGAAGGGGGAGGGAGAGGGCCGGGCCUAAUUCCACUGCACACCCUUCAGCUCCUGUCCUUUUAGCUCCCCUCUCAGAGGGUUGUUUCAAUAUCCCACCUUCACCACCCACCCCUGCUCUGGGUCCCUGACCAGCUGUGCAGGGAGACCUCCUUCACAUUGGCCCAGGCGAGGGCCUGAGCCUGGAGAACUGUCUUUCCUGCUGUUGGUCUGAAUCAGAGAGAUACUCCUUCCAUUCUCAGCUAGAGAAGCCUGACUUUCAGUCCUUUGCUGUUGAUGGUAGAGGCUAUGCUACAAGAUCUGGGUGACCUAAAGAGAUUGCCUUUCCUUCUCUGUGUCUCAGUUUCCCCAUCUUUGCGAUGAAAAAAAUAAAACAGAACAAAACUGUACCUGGCAAUUUCAAAGUGGCAAUAGAAGAAAAGCUUAUAAUAUAGUUACUGUGUAUUGCUUUUUCAAUGAUGUGCCAGGCGAACCAAGCACUUUACAUGUAUUCAUCCACUAAUUAAGUAAAAUAAGGAGUUGGUGUUAUUUUGCCAAAAGAAGACUAAAAGGGAGAUAUCCAGACAAAGGGGCUUUGGCUUAAAUUGCACAAGAAGGGAUUUGGGGUAGGCACUGGACAUUUUUAGGUUUGACUUAAGGGAGAAAUUUCUUGCAAGACCUUGAGACACUCGACUAAAGUGAUUUUAUCUUGAGCAGAGCUUUUGGAAGGGGUGAACCACCUUGUAUUUGAGCGGCAGAUGUGGUUCUGCAAGAAGACAGGGUGACAAGAUGCUGCAAUGGAGACUUCCCCACCCCAAGUUUCACUGAUUGUACAGUCAGGCAAUAACUAACGGCUUCUCUCCCAUGACAGCUGCUCUUUGCUGUCACAUUUUCAGGGUCAAACUCUGAUAAAGCACUGUAUACAAUAUGACGUUUCUGUUGUGACGAUCCUCCUGUAUUUAGAAUGGGUGGCAGAUAAGUAGUGGUGACUUCUGGGUGGGAUGAUGAACAGCUACAAGCAAAUGUCAAACCCUUUGCAGCAUGCAACAUCUUGGAGACCAGAGAACCCUGCCUUGGGAAUAGGAAGACCCGCACCCCCACCCCCCCACCCCCCCACCCCCCAAAGAAAGAGAGACUUUAAAUACAAAACAGUUUGCCCUAUACAUGAUGGUGUCUUGCACUUCCAACUAGAGAACCAGGGACCUCUUCACCUUGCCCACCUCACAGUCAACCUCUGGGACUGGUGCCUCUCUCACUCAGAGGGCUGUCUAGCUCGUUAACAUCUUGCCAAACGACUGAUCUGUUCCCUGAGCACAGGGAGAGAAAGUAUUGAUGGGAGAGGUUGUAGACUCAGUCCCUAUCCAUGCUUUGAUGGUGCUGUUUGCUCUCAGCAGGCUCUACUUCAGAGCCCUUUGCCAAUGGUCAUUAAUGAGUCCUUCAUUCCCCAGGGAGAGGGGUACUUUGCUGCAGAGGAAGAGAGGUUAAAAUCUGGCUCUGUACCUUCCAGCUGGAUUAAGAUAUCAGAGGCCCUGGGGUAAUGUAAGCACAUUGUGAACACAAGAUCCUGAGAGGGAGCUGAAAAUCAACUAGAUAAUCCAAUCUGAAAUGAAGAUUUUAGUUCUUGGACACAGAGAGGCAGCACUUUAGGCCUUUUCUGGGAAGAGCUUGGAAAACAAGAAGCCCUUGUCCUUGUCCACCACCCCAGGGUUUGGCGGUGGUCAGGCUCAUGUUACCCUAGGGGGCCUCUGCCCUGCCACCAGGGGCUCCUUGUACUCCAGGGAGAACCAGCCAGAGCAAGUGCCGCAUUCAGCUCUGAGAGGCUACAAAUUCUUGUCCACCAGUUGUUAUGUUUAAAAAGCAAAUAAACAUCCAGACACAAGACCAGGCUGUCGAGGCAUGAGUAGAUCAGGUGGAAACAGAGAGCUCAUCCUCUUCCGGGUCAGUGAGAAAGUGCAGAUACCACGGUUUCUUAACAGCACACUUUCCUCCUGAGACGGACCGUAGAAGUUCAACUUAAACCCCCCUGUCUAUGAACUGCCACCUCCCCAACCUCUCCCAACGCCUCUCUCACUGCUUAACACAUGACACAGGAAUUUCCUGGCUGCCCCCUCCAGGUGGCCUGUUAAAUGACUGGUCCCUUUGUUUGUGGCAAUUGCAUUUCUCAGAAGGGCCCAGUCCUGUGUUCCUCCAGCCCAUGCCCGCUUAUCUCUCAAGACCUAGAUUGAGACUUACCUCUUCUGGGAAGUCUUCUUCCGUACCAACCCACUCUCCCACUGACUUUUCCUAGCACUGCUGUGUAGUAUAAGAGUAUGCCACUAUGUACCAUUUUGUACAGGGAUAUGGCAGGGUUUUCAGCUUACUUCAUUGGUACUCUUUGGUUCCCCUAUUUCUAUUUCUUCUGUAUUGCCCCCAGCACUCAGAAUUGGGUCUUUCCAAUGCAGCAGACAGCCCUCCCCACUCCCCUUUGCCAA